This 465-nucleotide ribosomal RNA is filed under the name Triticum aestivum (bread wheat). Its description in RNAcentral is "partial small subunit ribosomal RNA". Lineage: Eukaryota; Viridiplantae; Streptophyta; Magnoliopsida; Poales; Poaceae. The record is from RNAcentral.
AUGAUGAUUGAGGCGAAGAACAAGGGCAAGGAGGCGGUGUCGGCAAUGGAGAAGGGCAAGGAGGUGGUGCCACUCACAGACGAGGACGUGGUGGUGGAGGAGCCCCGCAGCGGCAAGUGCUGGAACUACGGGCACUACCAUGAGGGUGGGCCAACUCAAUUCUGCAAAGUGCAUGCCUAUGCCCCUAGACUUCACGAAGCACUUCCCCGUCGUGCGGACGGAGUUAAGCUGAAGACAAACACCGGCUCCCAAUGGAGGGUCAUUGUCCAGCUGAUGAACGGCCGAGUCAACCUUGAUCGGGGUUGGGCCCUCUUUGCCGUCGUCCACCAGAUCAAGAUCCGGUACUUGGUGACCUUCAAGUUGCUGACUCACGACACCUUGAAGGUGACCGUCUUCAACGACGACGGCAUUGAAGUGGUGACCAAGUGUGGGAGGCACAACGACGCCUUCGCAGUGAACGUCUAG